AUUUCGUGUUUCUGUUGGUCUGCAUUUUCGUUUCAUGCAAUGCAUUUCAUUCUCUUUGAUGUUCUCGGUGCGUCGAUUGUGUUAUUUGCUUUUCUUCUUUAGUUUACAAGUGCCUUUGCAUAUUUUAGGGUUUUACGGUUUUGCGUUUAGUUGUGCCAGACGCUCAAAUUGAACUAAGUUUUGAGAGAUGAGUGUUUGAGAAACAAAAGAGAAAAGAGAAGGGAGAAGAGAGAGAAGGAUGUCGUCGUUGUCGAGCAUGUUCGGGUGUGGAGUGGUAGUGCGUCGUCGUUUUCAUGUUUUUUUUCUUUCUCUGUUUUCUUCAAGCCUCAUACUCUACUCUUUAAACACUUUAUCUUAUAUUUCGUGUUUUAAUCUCAAAUGAAACUUUUCAUCUGUGCAUUUGUUUUGGAUGAAUUCACUUUUUGAGGUAUGGGGAGCAUGCGUUAUAGAGAAUUUGAUUAAUUUGGGAACUAAUGGUUUGGUUUUCCAAUUCAGCUAUUAGACUAAAACUAGACACUCUUCCUACACACUUAGGAACACUUUGAAACUUCCUUUACCUUUAUAUUUCUGAAUUCUUGUAGACAAAUGUUCUUUUUGCACUACUUUUCUUCUUACCGUUUUCUUUUUCACAUUUUUUGCUACUGAAUUGAUUUGGUUUCAUAGGAGUUGUAUGAUAUGUUAUUAUGUUUUAGUUCUUAUUAUGGUGCUGGACUCUGUCGCAUGUAUAUCCUUUCCAACCUACUCCAGCACCGGUGCCAACACCCCUGGCUGAUUGGAUGUCAAAUCCAACAACUGUUGCACAUCCUGCAGUCUCCGGUGGAGCUAUAGGUCUUGGUGCACCGUCAAUCCCGAGUAUUAUAUUCUUUUGCUUUCUUUCGUUCUCUAACUCUUAAUGACUAGUUGAAUUUAGAAUGUUGUUUGGUUUAUAAUCUUUGACCUCUGAUGUUUUAUUGCCUCUGAUCUUUGACCUCUGAUGUUUUCUUGAUGCAAUGUAUUCACUAAGGCCUUUAAAGUGUGGGAUCUUAGUGCUUGUUCAAUGCCCUUUCAGGUUGCCUUUCUCACCUUAUUUGUUGAUUACCAAACCCUCAGAACUGUUGAGUUUGCAAUGAUUGAAAACAAAACUAAUGAUAAUCAAUUCAGGCUACUUUUGUCAAAGAUCCAGGUGUUUUUGUCAAUCGUGUGAUUUGGAGUCCUGAUGGGGCUUUAUUUGGAGUUGCUUACUUAAGGCACAUUGUUCAGAUAUACUCUUACCAUGGCGGGGAUGAAGUCCGACAGCAUUUGGAGAUUGAUGCUCAUGUCGGUGGAGUUAAUGAUUUAGCAUUUUCACACCCGAAUAAAUAGUUAUGUGUCAUUACCUGUGGUGAUGAUAAGACCAUUAAGUUUGGGAUGCUGCUUCUGGAGCAAAACAAUAUACCUUUGAAGGUCAUGAGGCUCCAGUUUAUUCUGUCUGUCCACAUUAUAAAGAAAACAUUCAGUCAUUUUGAGAAGUAUGGCGAUAUAACAUAUUUGUACAUGCCAAAGGAUCAAGGCUCCUAAACACAUCUUGGAAUUGGUUUCAUCACUUUUGCAAGUGCAGAUUCUGUGGAGACUUUGAUGUCAGAAACCCAUGAACUGAUAGGUUCUGCAGUGGUGGUUGAUCGGGCAACACCUAAAGCAAGAGUUUUUAUUUUUUAUAACCUGGCAUUUUAUAUAAGUUAUCCACAUUAUAGAGAAAUUGUGAGGAUGAUCUCGUCUAGUGUUUGGUCGUGGAGGUGAAGGAGAUGUAGGUCAAAGGAUUCGGGAUGAAAUACUUGUUAUUCAGAGAAAGAAUAAUUGCAAAGGUGGAAAGAUGGAGGAAUGAUACCAGAAAUUACACAAUAAUACUAGCCCUGAUGAUGUUGUGAUCUGUCAGGGUAUUCUGUGUCAAGUUCAGUGGUGAUGAAAGUUAUAUAA
RNA transcript from Vigna radiata var. radiata (mung bean), 1932 nucleotides. It is a transcript of the gene named protein TPR3-like, with no coding region annotated. The record is from RefSeq and is a predicted model, not a curated record. Lineage: Eukaryota; Viridiplantae; Streptophyta; Magnoliopsida; Fabales; Fabaceae. The transcript has 9 exons.